Molecule: RNA transcript, 2583 nt
Organism: Ricinus communis (castor bean)
Lineage: Eukaryota; Viridiplantae; Streptophyta; Magnoliopsida; Malpighiales; Euphorbiaceae
Gene name: serine/arginine-rich splicing factor SR30
Exons: 14
Source: RefSeq, a predicted model, not a curated record
GUCAAUCCAAGGCAAUCUUCCUCAAGCGACUGAAUGAACAGAUUCAGAAUGAACUCCAAAGGACUGCAAAAACCAUUUAAAACCACAUGAAUAUGAAGUGAAGUGGCAUAACGCAAAAUGCACAAUUUAUAGAUGCGUUAAUGUAUGCCCAGUAGCAAUUAGCAAAGGACACGUAGCAUUAUCAUAGUGCGAGAAUGUAAUUACGAUAAUCAGUGAGGGAUGGGUUGUAACGGGAAAUGUACAAAAUCCUUCCUUAUAAAACGCUCUCCUCUUUAUACUUCCACAAGAAUCCAAACAUUUCUAAAACAAAAACAAGAAAACACCUCUCCUCCAUAUUUUACUGAAAAGAGAUUUAAUUGACAAGUGUUUGUUAUCGGGGAAAAGAAUGAGCAGUUGUGCAAGCCGCACUUUGUACGUAGGGAAUCUUCCUGGAGAUAUUCGAUGGAGAGAAGUAAAAGAUUUGUUUUACAAGUAUGGACUCAUUGUUAGGGUGGAUCUAAGGAAUCCACCAAGAACCCCAGGUUAUGCUUUUGUUCAGUUUGAAGAUGCUUGUAAUGCUGAAGAGGCCAUCCGUGGUCGUGAUGGGUAUAACUUUAAUGGAUGUCGUUUACGAGUAGAGCUUGCUUAUGGUGGUCGAAAACAUUCAACUCCAGGCCAUGGUGGUCGAAAACAUUCAUUUCCAGGGCGUCAUUAUAAUACUUGCAGUGGUAUUAGUGAAAACCAUGGUCCUUCCAAGCACUCUGAUCAUCGUGUUCUGGUCACUGGAUUACCUUCAUCUGCUUCAUGGCAAGAUCUCAAGGAUCAUAUGCGACAAGCUGGGGAUGUCUGUUUUUCUCGAGUCUUUCCUGGUCGUGGUGGUAAGACAGGAAUUGUAGAUUAUAAAAACUAUGAUGAUAUGAAACAUGCUAUCAAGAAACUUGAUGACUCUGAGUUUCGCAAUGCAUUUUCUCGGUCUUAUGUGCGGGUGAGGAAGGAUGAUUCGAGAAGAAGCUACUCCCAAAGUCCUAGUCACGGCACACGUGACCGGAGCAAGAGCAGGAGCAGGAGCAGGAGCGGGAGUCAAAGUCGGAGCCGUAGUCGCAGUCGUAACUGCAGUGAGAGGAGCAGGAGCAAGUCUCCAGGGGCUAAAUAUUCUCAUCGCUCUCUCUCUGUAUCUCCUGGUAGAUCUGUUUCUCCACACUCUCAUGCUGGAUUGUCUCCGAGAUCUUCAAGACCUGGCCAAGGGCGCCUGAAACGGCAGUUCACAGUUUGCUUAAAGGAUGAACCAUGAACCAGCCCAUUCAUAGAUGGUCUAGAUCAUUAUUCAGGGGCACAUGAGUUCAUGAGGGUUGGCAAGGUGUCAUGCUUUGUUUGUAAGGGUUCCUUGUUUUGCUUAGUAGAUCUGGCUUUGUGCAGCAACCUGGGGAUUGGAUGUUAAGAACUUGAUGCAAUGGUGUGCUUAUAUACCUGCGUCUCUUUGGAGGUUUGAGGUAAUGCAUUUUUAUUGGUGAGCAGCUGAGUACCUCCUGAUCAUCUUAUAAUGCUGUUAUCCUGGUGUGUAGUUCAGUGCUAGACUUCAUCCAGUGUGGAUGGGUCACAACCCGAAAGCUGGAUUACUCUGAACUAAGUGCUAUUGGUACCAUCCCACAGAUCAGCUAUAUUUACAAAAAUUGAAACUACUUCAGCAUCUAUCCCUUCCUGUACUUGGGGAAACUGAUAGGGACAGUGUAGUUCUCUUAUCUGGUAUGGAUGGGGAGGAUAUCCCAAACUUUGGCAACUCGUGUCAUGGUGCUAUAGUGAUUUUUCUUUCCUCAUGUUGAUCUAGUUUCACGAACUUCUAGGAAAAGCCCAUUACCAAAGUGUUGAGGUCGUUUAUUAUCUUGCAGUGGUUUUUUUAUUCUCUUUUUACAAUUUUCUUCUAAAGACUGGCGGUAUUUCUUGAUUCUUUUGGUUGCUGGUCACUAUGAGGUGGAAGUGGCAAUGAAGCUUUUGGAUCAAGGAUUAUAAUGGAUUCUUAUGGAUAAUUGAGUUGUUUCUGGAAAUUUUUGCAGAUACCGAUCAAGAUCAAGAUCCCCACUAGCAUCUCCUUCUAGCAAACAACAAGCAGGUAGAAGAGCAACCAGACAAGGCAGAAGCAAAAGCAGCAGUGGAUCUCAAUCCCGAUCACCUGCUGUAUGAUUUCUCUCAGCAUCAAAAGAUGAUUGUUCUUGAUUAUUUGAUACCAUAUGUUGUCUUCUCAGGAUGUAGAUUGGCUCUGAUCAUGGCUGCAAUUGGCAGGUUAGAUCUGAUCAAAGCCGAGCAAUGGACUCUGCAGAUUCUAGAGAUCGUUGUUGAAGAUAUUGCCUGCCCUAGUUGUAAAUUGAUGUUAGUCAACUGCGAGAAACCUUUAACGAACUGGAAAUAGCUUAAAUAUACCUUACAUUCUGGACAAUUGUUUGAUCAACUGUGUAGUCAGGUUUUAUGCCGAGAUAGUCAUUUAGGCUUACGGUGGAGAGGCGAUUCAUCAAAAUAUAAGUACUUCUCAGUCUAUGUGCUUACCUAUAAGUACUUCUCAGUCUAUGUGCUUACCUACAUUUAUAUGUCAAAUUCUCCCAGCUUUUUGCA